This 1776-nucleotide long non-coding RNA is filed under the name Coturnix japonica (Japanese quail). Its description in RNAcentral is "lncRNA (ENSCJPG00005012296.1)". The record is from RNAcentral. Lineage: Eukaryota; Metazoa; Chordata; Aves; Galliformes; Phasianidae.
UGUGGGGCCAUUCAAGCUAAAAGUAUUGUGCCUGCAUUUUUAAUGGUCUCCAACAUGGUGGCACUAAGGCUAUCUUUAAGGCUGUCUUUCCUUGCCUCUUUAUAAGUUUGUGGGCAUCAGUCUCAUGAUGCAUUUGCUUGUGUGCUGUGUUUAAAACAAUACUUGAGUUUAUCCCUAUCCAGCAGAACUCGCUUAUGUAAGCGCCACAGAACCAUUGGAUCUGACGCAAUGCUGAAUGCAUAAGGUUUUGAUGUAAAAUAGUGGUCUGUAUCUAAAAUAAUGCGUUUAAGUUCCACUAGCUGGCUAAAGAAUGGGUUUAGUAAGCAAUUUCUAUUCUCUGUGUGUUAUCUGAAGUGUUGAAAGUUUGCAUGACUCAGAAAUUAUAAUAAUGUUAAAGGAUACAAAAUGAAAAGGGUUUGAGGGGUGUUUUUUCUUCAAAACUGACUUGGCUUCAAAGCAUGCUUUGCACGAGCACCACCACGAGUGUGAUCCUCUGAGGGACAAGCUGCUCACAUCUAUUCUCUUUGCCAGUGCCUGGGCAUGGAGCAUGGAGGGAUGCCCAGCCCAUGGCAGCAGUGCCCAGGGAGGAGCUCCCUGCAGCUCCAUGCUGCCAGCAUGGCGGGGCUGCUACGGAGUCCAGAGCGAGCUGGGAUGAGGGAUGAGCUUGCACCAACCACCGCAAAGGGACUAAUUAAGGUAGGUGCUUAUUCAUGAAGCUCAGCUCUCAUCUUCCAGCCUGUAAAAUCUGCAAAAUUGCUUCUUCUGGCGUUUUGUGAGAGGGAUCCUUAAAGCUGAGCAGACAGCUCUUACCUGCCCGCAGAGCAGAAAUGAGGUUCCUGCAUGAAGGACCUUCCACCCUGCAGUGCUGUGAGCAGGACCCUGCUAUGCCGCAGCCCUCUUGCUGCCCCUGGCCAUAUCCUGCACACCAGCACGGUGGCUGUGGGGAUGUCCUUCGCAGUCACAGCGACUUAGUGGGACUGAGUUGAUGAAGCGAGGACGGGGCUCGCUUGCCUAGCAGAGCUUGCAGAAAACAGUCUCCAAGUUCUAUAGUAAACAAAACAAAGAAGGCUGAAAUCAAUCCAAAGCUGGGAGAGAAGGAACUGCGGGAUGCUGUGCUGAGCACCACCUGGUAGCUGCCCUGCUGGAUGCAAUAAUAUCAGAGCAAAAAUCAAAGUCGCCCUCGCAGGAGCUGUGAGCAAUGAAGUGAGUGCAGCACUGGGAGGAUGCGCUCUGCUCGGAGCAAGAGGCAGGGAUGGGGGAGCUCUGUUGUUUUGAGCAGGUGGCAGUUGAAUCUGCUGGUGGAAUGUGAGUGUGCAGCUGGGGAUGGAAAUGACACCAAGAGCACAGCAGGUGUGAGCAGGGAUUAAAAGAAAGCACAGGAAGCCUCACAAUCUGCACACUGGGCCAGGCUGGCUGGUGUGGGGCUGUGAAUGCAGGCAGUGCCUGGAGGUGUUGGAGCUGUGUGGGGCUGCAGGAGGACCCCCAUCCACCCAGCGGAUCCCUCUCCACCCAGGGGACCCCCACCCCGCUGUCUGGAGGUAAUGCCAGAACAGCUUGUGCACUGGGGAAGCUAUUCUGAUAAAUGAGUGUAAGAUACAACAAUUUAUAUCCAUUUGCCUCACAGCAUUUCUGUGGGUUGAAAUCCCACGUCGAAACAGGGAAAUCAUAGUCUAGCUCUGAUCCUUUGACUGGUUUGAUAUCUGGACUGUAAAAUGCUAAAGAGGAUUAGAGAGGUGGUGCAGAUUUAAAGAAGUAAUAAAAGAUUUCAGUUAUUCA